AUCAGGUUUUCUUGGAGUCGGGUUGCUUGGGGAUGCAUCCCAAGCAUGUGGUAAACUCCCAUUUAUGGGUGGCUAACAAGUACUAUAAGGGAAAGUUGAUAAGAACUUUGAAGAGAGAGUUCAGGAGGGCGUGAACCCGUUCAGAGGUAAACUGAUGGGUACGUGCAGUCUGCCCGCAGGAUUCAAACACGGCAGGCAGGUCGGUCGCCUGGAGUGGUGGAUGCCCUUGCAGGACUGUGGCCCGGGCAGACCCUGCCCGCAGGGCGCAUUUCCUCUGUGGCGCUGCACUGUGACUGGCUGGGAGGCCCUAGGGGGGCAGGCGGCUCUCUGCUCCGGCAGAAAUUGUUACAGCCCCUCACAGCAGUUUUGCUGUGUUCGCAGGUCCGAGGAAGAUUGACCGCUGCCGUUGCCCUUCUCCGCAACUGUCCUGGCCCCUCUUGGGGGUCGCCGGGCGGUGACGGAGGCAGGGCUCCCAAUGCGACUGUGGUUGACUGCACUCAGUGCGCCCCGACCACGGCGUGUCGCUGGGCUGGUAGGCCCACAAAGGGUGCCAGGCAUCUUGAGGGUGCGUGAGUUGGGGGGCCAAAUGAAACCUUCUGGUGCAAAGAAGGUGAGGGCUGGCGCAUGCCGAUGCAGUGGGAUCUUGUUGCGGUGGGUGCACCACCGACCCCUCUCGUCUGCUCUUGUCAGCGAGAUGGAGCAUGACCGUGUGUGAUAGGACCCAAAAUAUGGUGAACUAGGCCUGGUGGAGGUCCGUAGAGGUCCUGAAGUGUGAAUCGGUCAUCCGACCUGGGUAUAGGGGCAAAAGACUAAUCGAACCAUCUAGUAGCUGGUUCCCCCGCAGUUUCCCUCGGAUGGCUGGUGCACGGAAACCCCCGUUUUAUCUGUAAAGCGAGUGUUUAGAGGCCUUGGGGCCAAAAUGAUCUCAACCUAUUCUCAAACUUUAAAUGGGUAAGAAGCCUGGCUCGCUGGUGUGGAGCCGGGCAUUGAAUGUAAGCGGGCAACUUUUGUUAAGCAGAACUGGCAAUGCGGGAUGCACCAAAUGCCGGGUCAAGGCGCCCAAUGCCGACGCUUAUCAGACCCAGAAAAGGUGUUGGUUGAUAUAGACAGCAGGGCGGUGGCCAUGGUCGUAAUCUGCUAAGGAGCCCCGGGAGAGUUAUUUUCUUUGUGAAGGGCAAUGCACCCUGGAAUGCGUUCUCCCUGAGAGAGGGGCCGAGCCUUGGAAAGCUUUGGCGGAUCCGGCGGCAUGCAGUGAGCUAUCGCUGGUCCUUGAAAAUCUGGGGGAGAUGGUGUAAAUCAUAUACGCAGCAGGUCUCCAAGGUGAACAGCCUCUGGCAUGUUGGAACAAUAUAGGUAAGGGAAGUCGGCAAGUCGAAUCCGUAACUUUGGAUAAGGAUUGGCUCUAAGGGCUGGGUCGGUCGGGCUGGGGCGCGAAGCAGGGCUGGGCGCGCGUGUUGCGACUGGACGAGGCGUCUCACCCUCCUUCCCCCGGGGCGGUGCCAACUAGGGAUGCGAGCCAGGCCCUGCCUGUGGAUUGCCCCAGAUGCGGUGGUCGCCUCUCUCCGUUGCCCUUCCAGGGUUCGUGGGCGACGUUCUGCAUCGGCCGACGCCUAGCAGCUGACUUGAAACCGGUGCGGACCAGGGGAAUCUUGAAAUGUUUAAAACAGCAUCGGGAAGGCCUGUGGUGGGUGUUGACGCAAUGUGAUUUCUGCCCAGUGCUCUGAAUGUCAAAGUGAAGAAAUUCAAUGAAGCACGGGUAAACGGCACGAGUAACUGACUCUCUUAAGGUAGCCAAAAGCCUUGUCAUCUAAUUAGUGAUGAAUGGAUGAAUGAGAUUCCCACUGUUCCUACCUACUAUCUAGCGAAACUGCCGCCAACGGCAGGCUUGGAAGAAGCAGCGGGGAGAUAAGACCCAGUUGAGCUUGCGUCUAGUCUGUCACUGUGAAGAGACAUGCAAGGUGUAGGAUAAGUGUUAAACCCUCGGGCCACCAGUGAAAUACCACUACUUUUUUCACUUACCCAGUGAGUUGGGGACAAGCCCUGUGGGCCUCUCACUUCUGGUUCCAAUCGCUCACUGCCGUCGUGCGCACCCCGCUCCGGGCACAAUGGCAUUUGGAGAGUUUGACCGGGCGGUACACCUGUCGAAACAAUAACGCAGGUAUCCUAGGGCAAGCUCGGGAAGGACAGAAACCUCCUGUGGAGCAGAGGGGAAACGCUGGUUUGAUAUCGAUUUUUCAGUAUGAAUACAGACCAUGAAAGCUGGGUCUCGCGAUCCUUUUGACUUUUUGGGUUUCAAGCAGGAGGUGUCAGAAAAGGUACCACAUGGGUAACUGGCUUGUUGCGGCCAAGCGUUCAUAGUGACAUCGCUUUUUGGUCCUUCUGGGUUGUCUCUUCCUAUCAUUGUGAAACAGAAUUCACCAACCGUUGGAUUGGUCACCCACUAAUGGGGAACGCGAGGUGGGUUUAGACCGUUGUGAGACAGGUUAGUUUUACUCGACUGAUGAUAUGUUGUUGCAAUAGUAACCCUGCUCGGAACCACAGGUGUUUGUGCUUGGCUGAGGAGCCAAUGGGGCAAAGCUACCAUCUGUGGGAUUAUGACUGAAUGCCUCUAAAUCAGAAUUCCCCUUUGCCCCCUAAACCGUAACAAUACUUCAGCGCUGUCGAGCUUAGGUUGGCCUAGGAUAGCCAGCCUCGGGGCCGGUGCGUAGAGCCGCUCGUCUCGGGACUCGAGUGUGGACAGAAGGGGGCCACUUCUCUCGCCCUUAGUGUACCGCAUGUUUGUGGAGAACCUGGUGCUAAAUCAUUCGUAGACGACAAAUUCUGGUUCAGGGUUUCGUAAGUAGCAGAGCAGCUACCUUGCUGCGUCUCUUGAAAGUCAUCCUCUGAGCCAAGCUUUUGU
Molecule: ribosomal RNA, 2899 nt
Filed under: Ambystoma mexicanum (axolotl)
Lineage: Eukaryota; Metazoa; Chordata; Amphibia; Caudata; Ambystomatidae
Description: eukaryotic LSU rRNA
Rfam family: Eukaryotic large subunit ribosomal RNA
Source: RNAcentral